UACGUAGGGUGCGAGCGUUAAUCGGAAUUACUGGGCGUAAAGCGUGCGCAGGCGGUUUUGUAAGCCAGAUGUGAAAUCCCCGGGCUUAACCUGGGAAUGGCAUUUGGGACUGCAAGGCUUGAGUGCGGCAGAGGAGACUGGAAUUCACGGUGUAGCAGUGAAAUGCGUAGAUAUCGUGAGGAAGACCAGUGGCGAAGGCGGGUCUCUGGACAGUUCCUGACACUGAGGCACGAAGGCCAGGGGAGCAAACGGG
RNAcentral lists this ribosomal RNA (253 nucleotides) under uncultured bacterium. RNAcentral's name for it is "partial 16S ribosomal RNA". It matches the Rfam family "Bacterial small subunit ribosomal RNA", at positions 524 to 776 of the family's 1533-position model. The record is from RNAcentral.